Molecule: ribosomal RNA, 274 nt
Filed under: uncultured bacterium
Lineage: Bacteria
Description: partial 16S ribosomal RNA
Rfam family: Bacterial small subunit ribosomal RNA
Source: RNAcentral
GAUGAACGCUGGCGGCGUGGAUGAGGCAUGCAAGUCGAAUGAAUUUAGAUUCAUGGCAGACGAGGUAGGAACACGUGGGUACAUACCGUAGAGUCAGGGAUAACCUGUCGAAAGGCAGAAUAAUACUUGAUGGUCCCUUCGGGGUAAAGAUUUAUCGCUCUAUGAAUGGCCCGCGGUCUAUCAGCUUGUUGGUAAGGUAACGGCUUACCAAGGCUACGACGGAUAGGGGAGGUGAGAGCCUGACCCCCACCGAUGGAACUGCGACACGGUCCAU